Molecule: ribosomal RNA, 453 nt
Filed under: uncultured Skermanella sp.
Lineage: Bacteria; Pseudomonadati; Pseudomonadota; Alphaproteobacteria; Rhodospirillales; Azospirillaceae
Description: partial 16S ribosomal RNA
Source: RNAcentral
CACGAAGUUAGCCGGGGCUUCUUCUCACGCUACCGUCAUCAUCGUCGCGUGCGAAAGAGCUUUACAACCCGAAGGCCUUCAUCACUCACGCGGCAUUGCUGGAUCAGGCUUGCGCCCAUCGUCCAAUAUUCCCCACUGCUGCCUCCCGUAGGAGUCUGGGCCGUGUCUCAGUCCCAGUGUGGCUGAUCAUCCUCUCAGACCAGCUAAGGAUCGUUGCCUUGGUAGGCCGUUACCCCACCAACAAGCUAAUCCUACGCGGGCCCAUCCCAUGGCGAUAAAUCUUUGUCCCUCAAGACACAUACGGUAUUAGCUCCAGUUUCCCGGAGUUAUUCCGUACCACAGGGCAGGUUCCCACGCGUUACUCACCCGUGCGCCACUAGGGCCGAAGCCCUCGUUCGACUUGCAUGUGUUAGGCAUGCCGCCAGCGUUCGUUCUGAGCCAGGAUCAAACUCU